This 253-nucleotide ribosomal RNA is filed under the name uncultured bacterium. Its description in RNAcentral is "partial 16S ribosomal RNA". It matches the Rfam family "Bacterial small subunit ribosomal RNA", at positions 524 to 776 of the family's 1533-position model. The record is from RNAcentral.
UACGGAGGGAGCUAGCGUUGUUCGGAAUUACUGGGCGUAAAGCGCGCGUAGGCGGCUUUGUAAGUUAGAGGUGAAAGCCCGGGGCUCAACUCCGGGACAGCCUUUAAGACUGCAUCGCUAGAAUCCGGGAGAGGUGAGUGGAAUUCCGAGUGUAGAGGUGAAAUUCGUAGAUAUUCGGAAGAACACCAGUGGCGAAGGCGGCUCACUGGACCGGUAUUGACGCUGAGGUGCGAAAGCGUGGGGAGCAAACAGG